AAACUUUCAACAACGGAUCUCUUGGUUCUGGCAUCGAUGAAGAACGCAGCGAAAUGCAAUAAGUAAUGUGAAUUGCAGAAUUCAGUGAAUCAUCAAAUCUU
RNAcentral lists this ribosomal RNA (101 nucleotides) under Pyricularia oryzae. Its description in RNAcentral is "partial 5.8S ribosomal RNA". It matches the Rfam family "5.8S ribosomal RNA", at positions 1 to 100 of the family's 154-position model. Rfam says of the family: 5.8S ribosomal RNA (5.8S rRNA) is a component of the large subunit of the eukaryotic ribosome. It is transcribed by RNA polymerase I as part of the 45S precursor that also contains 18S and 28S rRNA. Lineage: Eukaryota; Fungi; Ascomycota; Sordariomycetes; Magnaporthales; Pyriculariaceae. The record is from RNAcentral.